This 495-nucleotide ribosomal RNA is filed under the name uncultured bacterium. RNAcentral's name for it is "SSU rRNA". It matches the Rfam family "Bacterial small subunit ribosomal RNA", at positions 26 to 521 of the family's 1533-position model. The record is from RNAcentral.
AGGACGAACGCUGGCGGCGUGCUUAACACAUGCAAGUGGAGCGACGAACCAGGGCUUGCCCUGGGGCAGAGCCGCGAACGGGUGAGUAACACGUGGGUUACCUGCCUUGAUGACCGGGACAACCCGAGGAAACUCGGGCUAAUACCGGAUGUGCCCGCAAGGGGAAAGGAAGCUUCGGCCUCCGCAUCAAGAUGGGCCCGCGGCCCAUUAGCUAGUUGGUGAGGUAACGGCUCACCAAGGCUUCGAUGGGUAGCUGGUCUGAGAGGACGAUCAGCCACACUGGGACUGAGACACGGCCCAGACUCCUACGGGAGGCAGCAGUGGGGAAUCUUGCGCAAUGCGCGAAAGCGUGACGCAGCAACGCCGCGUGGGGGAAGAAGGCUUUCGGGUUGUAAACCCCUUUCAGUUGGGACGAAGCUCCGUCGGUUAAUAGCCGGCUGGAGUGACGGUACCUUCACAAGAAGCACCGGCUAACUACGCGCCAGCAGCCGCGGU